CCUACGGGUGGCAGCAGUGGGGAAUAUUGGGCAAUGGACGCAACUCUGACCCAGCAACGCCGCGUGAAUGAUGAAGGUCUUCGGAUUGUAAAGUUCUUUUCUACGGGAAGAAGAAAGUGACGGUACCUUAGGAAUAAGUCUAGGCUAACUAAGUGCCAGCAGCCGCGGUAAUACGUAGGAGGCAAGCGUUAUCCGGAAUGACUGGGCGUAACGGGGGCGUAGGUGGUUUGGUAAGUUGGUAGCGGAACUCCGGAGCUCAACUUCGGAACUACAACCGAAACUGGUGGACUCGAGUUCAGGAGGGGCAACUGGAAUUUCUAGUGUAGCGGUGGAAUGCGUAGAUAUUAGGAAGAACACCGGUGGCGAAGGCGAGUUGCUGGACUGUAACUGACACUGAGGCACGAAAGCGUGGGGAGCAAACAGGAUUAGAUACCCGAGUAGUC
RNAcentral lists this ribosomal RNA (443 nucleotides) under uncultured bacterium. RNAcentral's name for it is "partial 16S ribosomal RNA". It matches the Rfam family "Bacterial small subunit ribosomal RNA", at positions 338 to 795 of the family's 1533-position model. The record is from RNAcentral.